RNAcentral lists this long non-coding RNA (1976 nucleotides) under Homo sapiens (human). RNAcentral describes it as "HSALNT0118094". The record is from RNAcentral. Lineage: Eukaryota; Metazoa; Chordata; Mammalia; Primates; Hominidae.
GGACCCGGGGCUACAGAGGACAUCGGCGUGAGUCCUCAGAAAGGGCAGAUGCCCUGAAGUGGGUGUCAGGCAGAGGGCGGGGCCUAGAGCCGGCUGAGGCCAGAGCCUCCCCACGUGUGCAAGGACGCCCUGGGUCAAAGUCACAGUACUGGAAUCUGAGCACGCGUCCGUCUGUGGCAAGAGAGAAGCACAGAUGAAGCACAUGCUUUGCUCCUGCACCGCUCCCACGCCUCCGCACUCCAGAACUGAUCCUUGGCAGCCCGGCUGCCGGAGUGAUUACCUACAAGGCAAAUCUGAUUGCGCAGCUUUCCCACUCAAAGACCUUGGAUGAAUUCCUGCUGCCGUUCAACACAGGCCUCCAAACUUUUUUUUAGUGAUGUGAAACUCUUUCUUCAAACCAAGUCUUAGAAUCCUAAGAUCAAAUGCAGGCAAAAGUGGUGAAUUUUACCACCUGUUUGUAAGUCUGGGUUUAUAACUUUACCGUAAAUCACCUAGAACACAGGCUAGCCGAAUCGGGGUGUCUGGUAUGGCAAUAUCCCGAGAGCUAACCUGGGGCUGGGGCAAUGUUCUGUGGCUGCUGCACUUGCCUCUAACAGGCCAGUUUAAAACGUCCAGGUCUCAGGGCCACAUUCUCCAGGACACAGCAGGGAGCUCACAGUAGCUCAAGACCCGGCCCAGCCUCCAUCCCCAGCCUUGGAGCUGUCAGUGCUCCCAAAGGCUGAAAGCAUUCGGUCUUGGCUGAGUGGACAGCCCCCUUCCCUUCUUCCAAGGCUUUAGAAGCCACCUAUCUCCAGAUCCCUCUCAAAAGGAGACUUCCACCCACAGAGACCCCACCCAGAAGGAGCUGUGUGUGAGGCACUGAAUGAAACCUCUUUCAGAUGGCUUAUCUCACUGUACUCUCAACAUGUGUCUCCCUUACGGGACUGUGGGCAACUUGAGGACAGGCACACCUCAUUCAUUCCUCACCCCCCACUGUACAUACGACACCUGCACAGGGAAAGUCCUUACUUUGUCUCUGUGAAAGGGUGAAUGAGUCAAGGAACUGGGAUGUUUUAAAAUAGAAUUUGUUGCUUUGGGGAACGGAAAAAUUCAGGCUUUUCAUCUGUGUUACCAGAGUUGGUAUGCUGGCUGUAAUGCUGAAAAGUCAGAAGUAAACGCGUUCCCCGGGACCCAGGGCAUGCGCUUCAUCUCAGCGGCUUCUUACAAGGAUUGGGUGCAAGUGCUGCAGCAGAAAGAUGUUUCCAGGAACAUGGGAACCAAGGCUAGGUCUGCAUCUUCUCUGAAAAACUAGCCUGUUGUUUCUCAAACACACAUCAACAUAGCCUGAUAUUUCAGAGAGGAAGGGAAGGUCGGUUACAAACGGUAUCGCCAUGAGCCGCAAACGAAUGGAAGAAAUUCCACGUUAAAAAAAUGUGAAUUUCAUUCCAUAAGAAAAACCUUUAGUACGUAGCUCAGAAAACAGUCAAGAGGCCCAUGAUCAUCUCGGUUCAGGAAAUGCUAGGCUGCUGGAGACAGCCUUUUGUUUAACCUCAUAAACAUCUAACAAACACGGAAGACAUCAACUUGAUUGUUAUUUCUCUCCUUUUAAAUACCAUCACUCCUUUUUUUUUCUUAUUUUGGGGAUAGGGUCUUGCACUCUCUCUCAGGCUGGAGUGCAGUGAUGCAAUCUUGGCUCACUGCAGCCUCAACCUCCUGGGCUCAAGCGAUCCUCCCACCUUAGCCUCCCAAGUAGCUGGGACCAACAGGUGCAUGCCAUCAUGCCCGGCUAAUAGUCUGAAUUUUUUCUUUGGAGAGAUGGGGUCUCACAAUGUUGCCCAGGCUGGUCUUGAACUCCUGGGCUCAAGCAAACCACCUGCCUCGGUCUCCCAAGGUGCUGGGAUGACAGGCCUGAGCCACCACGCCCGGCCACCGCCGCUCCCUUACCCAGGAUGAUGCCGUUGGGCUCCUCCGGAGGUUGCCACACUAUCCGCACGGAG